CCCGCCGUUGAAACGACGGGCUAUUUUGAAUCGUCCCUGCGGGACU
This 46-nucleotide small RNA is filed under the name Caldithrix abyssi DSM 13497. RNAcentral describes it as "Acido-Lenti-1 RNA". It matches the Rfam family "Acido-Lenti-1 RNA". Lineage: Bacteria; Pseudomonadati; Calditrichota; Calditrichia; Calditrichales; Calditrichaceae. The record is from Rfam by way of RNAcentral.